This 729-nucleotide ribosomal RNA is filed under the name uncultured bacterium. Its description in RNAcentral is "bacterial SSU rRNA". It matches the Rfam family "Bacterial small subunit ribosomal RNA", at positions 771 to 1501 of the family's 1533-position model. The record is from RNAcentral.
AACAGGAUUAGAUACCCUGGUAGUCCACGCCCUAAACGAUGUCGAUUAGCUGUUGGGCAGCAUGACUGCUUAGUAGCGAAGCUAACGCGUGAAAUCGACCGCCUGGGGAGUACGGUCGCAAGAUUAAAACUCAAAGGAAUUGACGGGGACCCGCACAAGCGGUGGAUGAUGUGGAUUAAUUCGAUGCAACGCGAAGAACCUUACCUGGUCUUGACAUGUACGGAACCCUCCAGAGACGGAGGGGUGCCUUCGGGAGCCGUAACACAGGUGCUGCAUGGCUGUCGUCAGCUCGUGUCGCGAGAUGUUGGGUUAAGUCCCGCAACGAGCGCAACCCUUGUCAUUAGUUGCCAUCAUUAAGUUGGGCACUCUAAUGAGACUGCCGGUGACAAGCCGGAGGAAGGUGGGGAUGACGUCAAGUCCUCAUGGCCCUUAUGACCAGGGCUUCACACGUCAUACAAUGGUCGGUACAGAGGGUAGCCAAGCCGCGAGGUGGAGCCAAUCUCACAAAACCGAUCGUAGUCCGGAUUGCACUCUGCAACUCGAGUGCAUGAAGUCGGAAUCGCUAGUAAUCGCAGGUCAGCAUACUGCGGUGAAUACGUUCCCGGGUCUUGUACACACCGCCCGUCACACCAUGGGAGUGGGGGAUACCAGAAGUAGGUAGGGUAACCGCAAGGAGCCCGCUUACCACGGUAUGCUUCAUGACUGGGGUGAAGUCGUAACAAGGUAACC